RNAcentral lists this ribosomal RNA (486 nucleotides) under uncultured bacterium. RNAcentral describes it as "partial 16S ribosomal RNA". It matches the Rfam family "Bacterial small subunit ribosomal RNA", at positions 28 to 507 of the family's 1533-position model. The record is from RNAcentral.
GACGAACGCUGGCGGCGUGCUUAACACAUGCAAGUCGAACGCUGAAGACCUGGCUUUUGUUGGGUUGGAUGAGUGGCGAACGAGUGAGUAACACGUGAGUAACCUGCCCUCUUCUUUGGGAUAACGCCCGGAAACGGGUGCUAAUACUGGAUAUUCACUGAUCUUCGCAUGGGGGUUGGUGGAAAGGUUUGUUCUGGUGGGGGAUGGGCUCGCGGCCUAUCAGCUUGUUGGUGGGGUGAUGGCCUACCAAGGCUUUGACGGGUAGCUGGCCUGAGAGGGUGACCGGUCACAUUGGGACUGAGAUACGGCCCAGACUCCUACGGGAGGCAGCAGUGGGGAAUAUUGCACAAUGGGCGAAAGCCUGAUGCAGCGGCGCCGCGUGAGGGAUGGAGGCCUUCGGGUUGUAGACCUCUUUCGCUCAUGGUCAAGCCGCAACUGUGGGUUGUGGUGAGGGUAGUGGGUAAAGAAGCGCCGGCUAACUACGUG